RNAcentral lists this ribosomal RNA (291 nucleotides) under uncultured bacterium. Its description in RNAcentral is "partial 16S ribosomal RNA". It matches the Rfam family "Bacterial small subunit ribosomal RNA", at positions 373 to 659 of the family's 1533-position model. The record is from RNAcentral.
GGGCGCAGCCUGAUCAGCAUGCCGCGUGUGUGAAGAAGGCCUGCGGGUUGUAAAGCACUUUCAGUGGGGAGGAAGGCCUCAAUGCUAAUAGUAUUGAGGAUUGACGUUACCCACAGAAGAAGCACCGGCUAACUCUGUGCCAGCAGCCGCGGUAAUACAGAGGGUGCAAGCGUUAAUCGGAAUUACUGGGCGUAAAGGGUGCGUAGGUGGUUUUUUAAGUCAGAUGUGAAAGCCCCGGGCUCAACCUGGGAAUUGCAUUUGAUACUGAAUAACUGGAGUUUGGCAGAGGGA